GCUUGUGGAAGUCUCUAGACUGAUGGUCAACACUUGGUUUUUUGGCUGCUGCGCUUUGCCGUUGAUGUAGUAUCCAACAGAUGAUAAAUUAGAAGCUGACGUGGAUAGUCUUUGAAGCGCCGUUUCCUACCGCGAUUGUAAUAUAGAAAUUCUUAUAAUAUUCAUGGAUAGGGUGGAGUCAUGACUCCUUAUGCUUAUAUUCCUCGAAUUCUUCCUUUUCUAUCAGCAUAAAAAAUAGAUCAACAAAAUUUUCAUGUGGUACAUUUUGAGAACAUUGAAUUUGAAAAGUUUAAUAAUGAAAAUGAAAUAGUUGUAACUCUAAAGAUAAUACAUAACCAAAACGAUUGUAAUGUAAGAACGUUAAAGCAUUAGAACUAUAUAAUUGCUUAUGUCAUGGCUAGGUAUGUACCAUAUAUAUAUACAAAGAAACAAAUAUAUAAUGAGAUAAAUAUAAAUCUACAUAUAAGACCGAGGUACAUACUUGUUUUGAAGCCUUUUUUGUCGGCGUUAGCAGCAUAUUUAGCAUAACACUAACUUGCUGUUUGGUUGUGUUUUGGGAGCGGCAACAUAAAUGGAAUCAAAUGACGGCGCUAGUUGUUACGAGAUGCAAUGAAAAGCGUCAAUUGUUUGGUUUGCUCAAGCGGAGAGGAGGGACAUGGUCGUAAUGGGAUAGUGCCGCAAGACUGGCGGGAUCGCCAAUCUGAAGCGUCGUAACUGAUGCUGCAUGAAUCGAUUACAUCACGGCCAAAACAAAUAGCAACAAACGUAACCGGAUCACGCUGUAAAUCAUUAACAGACCAAAACAAUCCAACCAAACACCUCCUAAGAUUUCCAUGGUAAAGAGAGGUGAGGGAUAGUAUUAGUUCUCAGGUGAAUGCAAUCAACUAAAUAUCACCAGCAUAUCAACAUUAAUAAUAAAACAAUAAAAUUUUCAUGUGACAAAGAGGCUGGUAAACUUUAUUUUUUUCAUUUGAUUCCAGCAAAGAAAAUAGUAAUAUAAGCAGCAAACCUUUUCUCAAAAAAGGAGUGGGAAAUUCACCUUUUUAUAUAAAUUAGUUAUUCUUCAAAGCGUCACAUGGUCCUAAAGUUGUUCUUCAACUACAACACAAGCAUUCUGAAAAGGUUAGUACCAAUCAGAUUUAAUGUUGUAAAAAUGUGUGAUAGAAAAAGUAAAGAACGUUAAGUACAAUACAUUGGUAAGAAAUCAAAGGCACAUAUUAACCAACUAUUAGAAACAUAUACAUGUGUGUGCAUGCAUGAUCGUUAAAAUUUUCUGCUAACAUAAACCUAUUUAUUUUAGGUUGGAGCUUAAUUAGGUCGACCAAGGCAAUGUUCUUCAAGUCUAGUAUCACCUUACAUGGUAGGGGCACCAAAAAUAGCUUCCUAUAUUGUUGUGUAUAUGCUUUCGAAGACUUCUUUUGAUAACUAAAUCCUAACCUUCCUGUGAACAAUCAACACCUAAAUUGCCUCUUUUUUAUGCGUCACAAGACCACAUUCAGCUAGGGCAUAACAUCGAACAGCUACAACGCAUGAACCAAUUUACUGCUACCACUUGGCAGCAUCCUAUUCUAGACGUUGCCCUGGUCAGAGAAAGGGGGAGGACCAUCAGCGCAAAGCACGAGCAGUUAACACAGUCGCGUACACUAUACCAGCUUACGUCUCUGCAUCUCAUCAUGAACACUAGACUAGAGAAUUGCAGCGAUUCACCGGAUGAGCCAUCCUCGGCGUCAAGGAGUGAAGAACGAAGAGAAUACAAAAAAACACAGAACCCUAGCAUCAAGGGCUAUGCAAAAUCCAACGCCGAAUGGUGGGGAGGGGGCCGAAAUGCAGCGGUAGACAUCGCCGAAGGGAAGGAGAACAUACCUCUUUUUGUG
Molecule: long non-coding RNA, 1874 nt
Filed under: Zea mays
Lineage: Eukaryota; Viridiplantae; Streptophyta; Magnoliopsida; Poales; Poaceae
Description: long non-coding RNA (ZMAY_LNC005467)
Source: RNAcentral